GUGGAGCGAUAGAGGCUCUGGUGGCAAUCUUAGGGCAGAAUCUGGAAGCUAGAUCAGUUGGAGCUAUCCCUGUCUUUCUUCCCACCCUCCCUUCUCCAGGCUGGGGCCCCUAUGUUCCUUGGUCCUCUCUCUGCUCAAGAUGGAUCCCAGAUGUGCUGGUGGCAGAGAAGAGUGUAGGCUCCAGAGCUUGGCCUGGCUUAGGUGACUCACAGAUGUUUUCCAGAUGUAGUCAAGGCCAGGAGUCUUCAGGACUGAAGUCUUAGGUGCCGGGGCUGUGUCUCCCCUGGUUGGAGGCAUGGCAGAGGGGCUGAAGACAUGGGCUGACUCCUGGCCAUGUGAGUGACUGAAGGCUCUCUGAACAGGGAGAAGAGUUAUGAAAGCCAAUUUGGGUGACAAAUGUUUCUCCGCGAUCAAAUCUCACCUUCUCCCCUUGGUGGGCAGAACCUUGGGAGGCAACCCGGACUUGAGGGUCUGGAGUUCCCUGGGAGAAAAGACAGAGUCUUUAUGAGAAGUGACAGGGUCUCCCAGGAUGAAAGUGCGGAUCUAGGGACAAAUAUUCCUACCUCCCCCCACCAACCCCCAUCCCAGAUCACUGAAGCAGGGCUGGUGAGGCCACACAGGCCUCCUGGAUUCAGCUGACCUUUCAGGGACCCAGGUUCUAACUCUGGCUUCCCAUUUCCCUCUGCCCCUCCCCCACAGUGUGAACCUGUGGCAGAAGGGUUUAAGUUCUGAGGUUAGUAGUGUGGGGAGGGCUCUCACUGGCAGUGGUCUCUGAAGGGCAAUGAAGGGUCUUUGGGAGCAGAACUAGGGCUCGGAGGUUAAGGAUAGCCUGGCAGGGGCACAUAAGGUUUUGUAGCACAGGUCUGAAUGUCAGUUUUACCACUUUUUAAGUGCAUACCCUGGGUAGUUUUCUUAGCUUCCCUUCUGUGCCCUCCUCUGAAAGGUAAUAUAAAACUUCCUCUGUAGAGGUUGUGAUGACAGUAGAGGUCUUAUAAGUAAUGUUUCUGGAACAUAAUAGGUGUUCAAUAAAUGAUCAAUUUUACUACUAUAA
Molecule: long non-coding RNA, 1051 nt
Organism: Canis lupus familiaris (dog)
Lineage: Eukaryota; Metazoa; Chordata; Mammalia; Carnivora; Canidae
Exons: 3
Source: RefSeq, a predicted model, not a curated record